UGGGGAAUUGUUCGCAAUGGGCGCAAGCCUGACGACGCAACGCCGCGUGGAGGACGAAGAUCUUCGGGUCGUAAACUCCUGUCGAGCGGAACGAACGCUUCGCGGAUGAAUACUCCGCGGAAUUGACGGUACCGCUAAAGGAAGCCCCGGCUAACUCCGUGCCAGCAGCCGCGGUAAUACGGGGGGGGCAAGCGUUGUUCGGAAUUACUGGGCGUAAAGGGCUCGUAGGUGGCCAACUAAGUCAGACGUGAAAUCCCCAGGCUCAACCUGGGAACUGCGUCUGAUACUGGAUGGCUUGAAUCCGGGAGAGGGAUGCAGAAUUCCAGGUGUAGCGGUGAAAUGCGUAGAUAUCUGGAGGAAUACCGGUGGCGAAGGCGGCAUCCUGGACCGGCAUUGACACUGAGGAGCGAAAGCCAGGGGAGCAAACGGG
This 430-nucleotide ribosomal RNA is filed under the name Bacillota bacterium. RNAcentral's name for it is "Firmicutes bacterium partial 16S ribosomal RNA". It matches the Rfam family "Bacterial small subunit ribosomal RNA", at positions 355 to 776 of the family's 1533-position model. The record is from RNAcentral. Lineage: Bacteria; Bacillati; Bacillota.